UAUUUUAUUCCCCCAUAUUUAUACGGUUAUGUUUGUUUGGUUUUAGGUUGGGGUGACCGCGGAGUAUAAAACAACCUCCACGAAGAAAAGACUAAUAAUCUUUAUCAGAGAAAGACAUUUCUAAGAAAUAAUAUAUUAACUUUAAAUGAUCCGAUAUUCGAUUAACGAAUCAAGUUACCCUGGGGAUAACAGCGCAAUCCACCUUAAGAGCCCUUAUCGACAGGUGGGUUUACGACCUCGAUGUUGGAUCAGGGUAUCACAGUGGUGCAGCAGCUACUAAUGGUUCGUUUGUUCAACGAUUAAAACCCU
This 309-nucleotide ribosomal RNA is filed under the name Boophis luciae. RNAcentral's name for it is "partial 16S ribosomal RNA". It matches the Rfam family "Bacterial large subunit ribosomal RNA", at positions 2227 to 2597 of the family's 2925-position model. The record is from RNAcentral. Lineage: Eukaryota; Metazoa; Chordata; Amphibia; Anura; Mantellidae.